UUGGUGUAAUGGUCAACAUUGCAGAUUGUCGAUCUGCAGUUACGGGUUCGAUUCCCGGA
Molecule: transfer RNA, 59 nt
Filed under: Pseudobacter ginsenosidimutans
Lineage: Bacteria; Pseudomonadati; Bacteroidota; Chitinophagia; Chitinophagales; Chitinophagaceae
Description: Niastella sp. Gsoil 221 tRNA
Rfam family: tRNA
About the family: Transfer RNA (tRNA) molecules are approximately 80 nucleotides in length. Their secondary structure includes four short double-helical elements and three loops (D, anti-codon, and T loops). Further hydrogen bonds mediate the characteristic L-shaped molecular structure. tRNAs have two regions of fundamental functional importance: the anti-codon, which is responsible for specific mRNA codon recognition, and the 3' end, to which the tRNAs corresponding amino acid is attached (by aminoacyl-tRNA synthetases). tRNAs cope with the degeneracy of the genetic code in two manners: having more than one tRNA (with a specific anti-codon) for a particular amino acid; and 'wobble' base-pairing, i.e. permitting non-standard base-pairing at the 3rd anti-codon position.
Source: Rfam by way of RNAcentral